RNAcentral lists this long non-coding RNA (224 nucleotides) under Elaeis guineensis (African oil palm). Its description in RNAcentral is "long non-coding RNA (EGUI_LNC025934)". Lineage: Eukaryota; Viridiplantae; Streptophyta; Magnoliopsida; Arecales; Arecaceae. The record is from RNAcentral.
GGUGUGGAUUAUGGUUAGAAUUGAGGUUAGGGUUGGGUUUUGAUUUAGGAUUAAGAUUAGGAUUAAAGUUGUAAUUAGGGUUAGGGUUAGGGUUAGGUAUGUGCAGAUUACCAAAGAGGUAGGAGAGAAGAUGAAGUAGGUGAAAGAAAAAACAUACAAAAAUAAGAAAGAAAAGGUAAGAAACUUAUAUAUAGGUGGUUAGAAAAUGAGAUCCAUUGUCAGUA